This 67-nucleotide transfer RNA is filed under the name Utterbackia peninsularis (peninsular floater). RNAcentral's name for it is "tRNA-Arg". Lineage: Eukaryota; Metazoa; Mollusca; Bivalvia; Unionida; Unionidae. The record is from RNAcentral.
GCAAAAGAAAGCUAAAAGCAUUAUGGUUUCGGCCCAUAAAAUGAAUCCCAAGAUUCUCUUUUUUAAA